This 123-nucleotide small RNA is filed under the name bovine gut metagenome. RNAcentral describes it as "RT-5 RNA". It matches the Rfam family "RT-5 RNA". Rfam says of the family: Clostridium (Firmicutes). Environment (Cow rumen (57)) The record is from RNAcentral.
AGCGCCUGCGGCGGAUCCGGCACGGGCACAUCUGUUCUCUUUCAGAAAGACGAACGGCUUCGCAGGCAGUCUGCCCGCGUACGGUCUUGUACAUCCCGGAAUUUUCCGGGCUUUAACCUAUUU